GACGAACGCUGGCGGCGUGCUUAACACAUGCAAGUCGAACGAGAAUCUACUGAAAGAGUUUUCGGACAAUGGAUGUAGAGGAAAGUGGCGGACGGGUGAGUAACGCGUGAGGAACCUGCCUUGAAGAGGGGGACAACAGUUGGAAACGACUGCUAAUACCGCAUGACGCAUAGAGGUCGCAUGAUCUUUAUGCCAAAGAUUUAUCGCUUCAAGAUGGCCUCGCGUCUGAUUAGCUGGUUGGCGGGGUAACGGCCCACCAAGGCGACGAUCAGUAGCCGGACUGAGAGGUUGAACGGCCACAUUGGGACUGAGAUACGGCCCAGACUCCUACGGGAGGCAGCAGUGGGGAAUAUUGGGCAAUGGGCGCAAGCCUGACCCAGCAACGCCGCGUGAAGGAAGAAGGCUUUCGGGUUGUAAACUUCUUUUAAGAGGGAAGAGCAGAAGACGGUACCUCUAGAAUAAGCCACGGCUAACUACGUG
RNAcentral lists this ribosomal RNA (480 nucleotides) under uncultured organism. RNAcentral describes it as "bacterial SSU rRNA". It matches the Rfam family "Bacterial small subunit ribosomal RNA", at positions 28 to 507 of the family's 1533-position model. The record is from RNAcentral.